Molecule: non-coding RNA, 548 nt
Organism: Neolamprologus brichardi
Lineage: Eukaryota; Metazoa; Chordata; Actinopteri; Cichliformes; Cichlidae
Source: RefSeq, a predicted model, not a curated record
UGGGAUUUUGUAGCUGUUGUUUACUUUGGAGAGAACGAUCCCUCUUACAUUAGUUCUACCUAAUAUCUCAGUUAUUUUGUUGGGACAUUAGCAGUGAGGCAGUACACCCAACAGACUGCUCUUCAUUUAUAUUUUCUUCACUGAGAAGAUGAGCCCACUUCUUUUUUUGUGUAUCUUGUGCCUGUUGGCCCGCAUCACCUACACUCAGUUUCCAGGUCCUCCUGGUCUUAAAGGUGAGAAAGGAGAUUGAGGAGUUUCUGGGACACAAGGAGUGCCUGGACCACGUGGGCGAACUGGAAUUCCUGGACUGCCUGGACGUCCUGGUGAAAUAGGGGGAGUAGGAAUAGAUGGGCUUCCUGGGCACCCUGGAGAAACAGUGUGCACUGAAGCUACAGUUGAAUCCACUUGCCCAGAUGUUGAAACCUUAAAAAGCAGACUUGCUGAGUUAGAACUGGGUAAGUAUCAUCAUCAAGGCAUUAUUAAUUAUGUUUAUUUAAAACUUUUUCAAAGACCAUCCGUUAAUAAUUUGUUGUUGCAAUUUACAACAA